GGGGGGGAGGAGGAGGCGAAGGAGGAGGAGGGGGAGGAAGGCAGGUGGGACAGGGCGGGGCGGUGCUGGGGGAGCAGGAGCUGAGGAGGAGGAGGAGGAAGGCAGGCGGGACAGGGCGGGGCGGUGCUGGGGGAGCAGGAGCUGAGGAGGAGGAGGAGGAAGGCAGGUGGGACAGGGCGGGGCGGUGCUGGGGGAGCAGGAGCUGAGGAGGGGACGCAGAUCUCCAGCACAGAGGACAGAAAACGGGGCACGAGCCCUGGACACUGGGCUGUGGCUGAGACAGGUACCGCUGCCACCAUCCUGCCUCCCAGUGCUGUCCCCUCCUUGCCUGGCUGUCCCUGUCUCUUUUUAAAUAUAAUUUAACACAGAAAUAGUGCUAGGGCCAGCGCUGUGGCACAGUGGGUUAAGCCUCUGCAUGCAGCACCGGCAUCACAUAUGGGUUUGAGUCCCAGCUGCUCCACUUGCAAUCCAGCUCCCUGCUAACGGCCUGGGAAAGCAGUGGAAGACGGUCCAAGUAAUUGGGCCUCUGGAUCCACAUGGGAGACCUCAAAGAAGCUCCUGGCUUUGGCCUGGCCCAGCUCUGCCCAUUGUGGCCAUUUGGGGAGUGAACCCACAGAUAGAAGAUUCUCUGACUCAGGCUUCAAAUAGAUUAAAAAAAAAAGUCUUAAAACAAAAAAACAGCAGGGGCCGGCGCCAUGCCGAAUCUGGUAAAGCUACCACCGGUGGGGCUGGAAUCCCAUAUGCACAUGGGCUAAUGGCCUGGGAAGCAGGGGAAGAUGGCCCAAGUGCUUGGGCCCCUGCACCCACGUGGGAGACCCAGAAGCAGCUCCUGGCUUCGGAUCAGCCCAGCUCUGACCACUUCAGCCAUUUGGGAAGUGAACCAGCAGAUACAAGAUCUCUCUGCCUCUCCUUCCCUGUAACUCUUUAAAAUAAAUCAACCUUUUUUUUUUAAAAAAAAAUGCUGUAUGGAAAAAAAAAAAAAAAAAAAGAAAGAAGCCCACUUCUCGCUGGCCCCGUGGAGUGAGUGUGCGCAGCCAUGGAGGCUCCAGGAAGGAGACCCCGCAGGCGCCAGAGUGUCAGCACUGGGCCUGUCCCUCAGUUGCCGAGAUAGUUCCUUGUCUCCAAGGGAGCCCGAGCAGGCGUGGCUCUGCCAGUGAGCCAGGUUACCCCACGCAGCUGCCUACGGGACUCGUCUGAGUUCCAGGAGGGCAAGAAGCGUGUCUCUGUCCCUACAGGGAGUGUUGACCAGGGAGCGUCCGAAGUUUAAAGAAUAGCCCCGAAUGGACACCUCCUCUGUGACCGCAGGCCUCGCACACUGCCGCGUCUGCACACGCAGUGGGACUCCCGCCAAGUCACCUCUGCCUUACCACGGGCGACUGCGAGGACAAGGCCUCGCCCUACCUGUGUCCUGACUCACAGCAGCGUGGCGCCUUUCUCAGAGGAGUACAGCCACACCCUGCUAGGUGUAUUGGCAGUAUGUUUCAAAAUCACUGUAAAAUCUUUUUUUUUUUUUUGGUAAAGAUUUAUUUAUUUAUUUGAAAGGUAAAGGCAGAGAGAGAGACACACAGAGACAGAGAGAGAGGUCUCCAUCCACUGGUUCACUCCCCAGAUGGCUGCAACGCCAGAGCUGCACCAAUCUGAAGCCAGGAGUAAUGGGUAGAGCCGCCACCUGUGGUGCCAGCAUCCCAUGUGGGCACCGGUUUGAGUCCCAGCUGCUCCACUUCCAAUCCAGCCCCGUGCUAAUGGACCUGGGAAAGUGGAAGAUGGCCCAAGUGCUUGGGCCCCUGCACCCAUGUGGAAGACCCAGAGAAAGCUCCUGGCUUCAGUCUGGCCCAGCCCUAGCUGUUGUGGCCGUUCGGGGAGUGAACCAGGGGAUGGAAGAGAUCUGUCUCUCUCCCUCCCUCUCUCUGCAACUCUGCCUUUCAAAUAAAUAAAAUAAAUCUUAAAAAAAAAAAAAAAAAAAAA
Molecule: non-coding RNA, 1965 nt
Organism: Oryctolagus cuniculus (rabbit)
Lineage: Eukaryota; Metazoa; Chordata; Mammalia; Lagomorpha; Leporidae
Source: RefSeq, a predicted model, not a curated record